Molecule: ribosomal RNA, 257 nt
Filed under: uncultured bacterium
Lineage: Bacteria
Description: partial 16S ribosomal RNA
Rfam family: Bacterial small subunit ribosomal RNA
Source: RNAcentral
GUCCACGCCGUAAACGAUGGAUACUAGCUGUUGGGGGCAACUUCAGUGGCUAAGCGAAAGUGAUAAGUAUCCCACCUGGGGAGUACGUUCGCAAGAAUGAAACUCAAAAGGAAUUGACGGGGGCCCGCACAAGCGGUGGAGCAUGUGGUUUAAUUCGAUGAUACGCGAGGAACCUUACCAAGGCUUAAAUGUAGAUUGAUCGGUUUUGGAAACAGACUUUUCGCAAGACAAUUUACAAGGUGCUGCAUGGUUGUCGU